AAAUCAAGAUUCAGAUCCCAUUUUCUUAUCCACCAUGGAUUCGUCCGCAGAUCUGAUGGGGCGCACCAGCAGCAGCUGCGAGCCACAACGAUGGGGCGCGUCCGACGGCGGCGACCGCCAGUGCCGCCUGCGCCAGAGUGGUCUGCGAUGGCUGCCAAUAGAGGAAGAUGAGAGAGAGAGACAGACUGAUAGAGAUCGAGAGGCAGAGAGGGAAAAAGAGAGACAACGAGAGGUUGAGAGGCUUACCUGAGGCAGGGAGACGUUCAGGCGGCGGUAGUAGCAGCGACGACGACAGACUUCACCGGAAAAGUGGAAUUGAAGGGGGAAAUUUAGAGAGAACCCUAGGUAGCAUUAAUUUAAUGAAUUGGGGAAAGAGAGAAGAUAGAAAAAAUGGGGGGGGAGACGCCGUCAUCGUCGCGCCGGAGGCGGCAAGAACCAGCAACGUCCGCCGGAGAAGGAUGGGGAGAUAGACGGUAAAGGGCAGAAAAUGGUUAAAGGAGAGAGAACACAGAGAUUGCGUAGCAGCGUUUGAG
This 533-nucleotide long non-coding RNA is filed under the name Salvia miltiorrhiza (redroot sage). Its description in RNAcentral is "long non-coding RNA (SMIL_LNC005178)". Lineage: Eukaryota; Viridiplantae; Streptophyta; Magnoliopsida; Lamiales; Lamiaceae. The record is from RNAcentral.